UUUCGGCUAUCACUUUAGGAUGGACCCGCGGUGCAUUAGUUAGUUGGUGAGGUAAAGGCUCACCAAGACCGUGAUGCAUAGCCGACCUGAGAGGUAAUCGGCCACACUGGGACUGAGACACGGCCCAGACUCCUACGGGAGGCAGCAGUAGGGAAUCUUCCACAAUGGACGAAAGUCUGAUGGAGCAACGCCGCGUGAGUGAAGAAGGUUUUCGGAUCGUAAAACUCUGUUGUUGGAGAAGAAUGUAUCUGAUAGUAACUGAUCAGGUAGUGACGGUAUCCAACCAGAAAGCCACGGCUAACUACGUG
This 308-nucleotide ribosomal RNA is filed under the name uncultured bacterium. Its description in RNAcentral is "bacterial SSU rRNA". It matches the Rfam family "Bacterial small subunit ribosomal RNA", at positions 208 to 507 of the family's 1533-position model. The record is from RNAcentral.